GACGAACGCUGGCGGCGUGCUUAACACAUGCAAGUCGAACGGUGAACUCCGCUUGCGGGGGGAUCAGUGGCGAACGGGUGAGUAACACGUGGGCAACCUGCCCUCAGCUCUGGGAUAACUCCAAGAAAUUGGGGCUAAUACCGGAUAUGACCGCUGACCGCAUGGUCUGGUGGUGGAAAGAUUUAUCGGCUGGGGAUGGGCCCGCGGCCUAUCAGCUUGUUGGUGGGGUAGUGGCCUACCAAGGCGACGACGGGUAGCCGGCCUGAGAGGGUGACCGGCCACACUGGGACUGAGACACGGCCCAGACUCCUACGGGAGGCAGCAGUGGGGAAUAUUGCGCAAUGGGCGAAACCCUGACGCAGCGACGCCGCGUGGGGGAUGACGGCCUUCGGGUUGUAAACCUCUUUCAGCAGGGACGAAGCGAAAGUGACGGUACCUGCAGAAGAAGCACCGGCCAACUACGUG
RNAcentral lists this ribosomal RNA (465 nucleotides) under uncultured bacterium. RNAcentral's name for it is "partial 16S ribosomal RNA". It matches the Rfam family "Bacterial small subunit ribosomal RNA", at positions 28 to 507 of the family's 1533-position model. The record is from RNAcentral.